UUUUCUGGAGAGUCUUCCUUUUGGAGUUUUCUACUGCGAGCCUAGGAUAUGGGAUGAUUCAAUUUUGUGGCAAGAUUGCAGAUUUUGCUUCCUAACAACUUUAUCUCUCUUAGUAAGGAGCUAAAACAGAGGAAUGUUUCAAAACAAGGGCAGAGUAAAUUAUGUAGAAGAUCUGAGUACUACCAAGAAACCGAAGAAUCAAAGAAUGCAGCAAGUUAUUAUUCAGGGUUGACUUAGACACAAAAUAAUUGGUGGCAUUCAGAGAGCAUCACUAUGAGUUCUUCCUACUACAUGCCUGGAAAUGACAUCUCAUCUGGACUACACCCAAACAGGAAAUCAAGUAUAAUGUAUAUUCCACGUGGAUGUGCAGGCAGGGAGAUAACAGGAUCAUGGAAAGCAAGUGUUUUUUUUUUUUUUCACAAGGCUUUAGAUCCCAUGAAAACAGAAUCAGAUGGACAGCAUCAUAAAUAUUAUAGCAUGGAAUAAGCUCACAGCUGGGAAGAACAGCCAGAUAUGGAAGAUGUCAAGCAUUCCUUGGGCCCACCAUAAACAAAUCAGCCUAGAUGUAAGGACUGAUAGAUUCUGAUGAUCCAAAAGUAAUGUCUCUUUUUGUUAAUGUUGGCCCAUGACUCAAGAGGUUAGUGGUAUGGCAGUAGAGAUUAAAACAACAUAAGGGAUGAAUGUUGGUUGUAUGGUAAUAGAGAUUGAAUCUGUCAGUUGAUAUUCUAUUAUUUUGUUGUCAUGUGAUGGAUGGCAGCAGAGGGACAGAUUGAUAAAAUGGUGUCUGACAUGGUAAUGUAUAAGCAAAGGUGUGUCUCUGAAUUCCUCCAUGUGGGAGAAAUUGCAUACAGUUGCAGCAGGUCAGCUCCGCUGAUGCAGAUUCUUAUGAGCGUGGCAUGCGUGCUCUUGUUCAUCAUUGACAAACAUGCAUAGUUAAUGGUGGUGACU
Meleagris gallopavo (turkey) is the source of this 948-nucleotide non-coding RNA. The record is from RefSeq and is a predicted model, not a curated record. NCBI's taxonomy places the organism in Eukaryota, Metazoa, Chordata, Aves, Galliformes, Phasianidae.